Brassica napus (rape) is the source of this 73-nucleotide non-coding RNA. NCBI's taxonomy places the organism in Eukaryota, Viridiplantae, Streptophyta, Magnoliopsida, Brassicales, Brassicaceae. The record is from Rfam.
GGGGAUGUAGCUCAUAUGGUAGAUCGCUCGCUUUGCAUGCGAGAGCCACAGGGUUCGAUUCCAUGAAUCUCCA